UGUCUUCUAGGAGACAAUAAACUUGGCACAAUACAAAGAAGAUUAAUAUAGCCCCUACACAAGGAUGACAUGCAUGUAUUAGGAAAUGCUUUGCAUUCAU
This is a small nuclear RNA of Elaeis guineensis (African oil palm), 100 nucleotides long. The record is from RefSeq and is a predicted model, not a curated record. Lineage: Eukaryota; Viridiplantae; Streptophyta; Magnoliopsida; Arecales; Arecaceae.